AUUGAACGCUGGCGGCAUGCUUUACACAUGCAAGUCGAACGGCAGCGCGGGCUUCGGCCUGGCGGCGAGUGGCGAACGGGUGAGUAAUGCAUCGGAACGUGCCCAGUAGUGGGGGAUAGCCCGGCGAAAGCCGGAUUAAUACCGCAUACGACCUGAGGGUGAAAGCGGGGGACCGAAAGGCCUCGCGCUAUUGGAGCGGCCGAUGUCGGAUUAGCUAGUUGGUGGGGUAAAGGCUUACCAAGGCGACGAUCCGUAGCUGGUCUGAGAGGACGACCAGCCACACUGGGACUGAGACACGGCCCAGACUCCUACGGGAGGCAGCAGUGGGGAAUUUUGGACAAAGGGGGCAACCCUGAUCCAGCCAUGCCGCGUGCGGGAAGAAGGCCUUCGGGUUGUAAACCGCUUUUGUUCGGGAAGAAAUCCUCUGGGCUAAUACCCCGGGGGGAUGACGGUACCGGAAGAAUAAGCACCGGCUAACUACGCG
Molecule: ribosomal RNA, 484 nt
Filed under: uncultured bacterium
Lineage: Bacteria
Description: partial 16S ribosomal RNA
Rfam family: Bacterial small subunit ribosomal RNA
Source: RNAcentral